RNAcentral lists this ribosomal RNA (327 nucleotides) under uncultured eukaryote. RNAcentral describes it as "partial 18S ribosomal RNA". It matches the Rfam family "Eukaryotic small subunit ribosomal RNA", at positions 1470 to 1796 of the family's 1831-position model. The record is from RNAcentral.
CCCUUAGAUGUUCUGGGCUGCACGCGCGCUACAAUGGAUGAAUCAACGCGUCAUCCUGGCCCGAAAGGGUUGGGGAACCGCUGAACCUCAUCCGUGGUUGGGAUUGGGGUUUGUAAUUAUUCCCCAUGAACUAGGAAUUCCCAGUAAGCGCGAGUCAUAAGCUCGCGUUGAUUACGUCCCUGCCCUUUGUACACACCGCCCGUCGCUACUACCGAUUGGAUGGUUUAGUGAGAUCCUCGGAUUGGUCACGGCACGGUGGCAACACUGCGUCGGUGUGCCGAGAAGACGAUCAAACUUGAUCAUCUAGAGGAAGUAAAAGUCGUAACA